GCUGAACGUUGGCGGCGUGCCUAAUACAUGCAAGUCGAGCGAACGGACGAGAAGUGGGCUUCUCGGAUGUGAGCGGCGGACGGGUCAGUAACACGUGGAUAACCAUCCUAUAAAGCUUGGAUAAGUUCGGGAGUCCGAAGCUAAUACCGGAUAAUAUCUGUAAUCACAUGGUUCAAAAGUCAAAGUCGAUCUUACUGUCUCUUAUUGAUGGAUCCGCGCUACUUUAGGUGGUUGGUAAGGUAACGGUUUACUAAGGCAACGAUGCAUAGCCGCCCUGCGAGGGUGAUCAGCCUCGCUCUGACUGAGACACGGUCCAGACUCCUACGGGAGGCAGCAGUAGGGAAUCUUCCGCAAUGGGCGAAAGCCUGACGGAGCAACGCCGCGUGAGUGAUGAUGGUCUUCGGAUCGUAAAACUCUGUUAUUAGAGGAGAACAUAUGUGUAAGUAACUGUGCACAUCUUGACGGUACCUAAUCAGAAAGCCACGGCUAACUACGUG
Molecule: ribosomal RNA, 497 nt
Filed under: uncultured bacterium
Lineage: Bacteria
Description: partial 16S ribosomal RNA
Rfam family: Bacterial small subunit ribosomal RNA
Source: RNAcentral